RNAcentral lists this ribosomal RNA (464 nucleotides) under Vreelandella stevensii. RNAcentral's name for it is "partial 16S ribosomal RNA". It matches the Rfam family "Bacterial small subunit ribosomal RNA", at positions 338 to 795 of the family's 1533-position model. Lineage: Bacteria; Pseudomonadati; Pseudomonadota; Gammaproteobacteria; Oceanospirillales; Halomonadaceae. The record is from RNAcentral.
CCUACGGGAUGCUGCAGUGGGGAAUAUUGGACAAUGGGCGAAAGCCUGAUCCAGCCAUGCCGCGUGUGUGAAGAAGGCCUUCGGGUUGUAAAGCACUUUCAGUGGGGAAGAAAGCCUUGGGGCUAAUACCCUCGAGGAAGGACAUCACCCACAGAAGAAGCACCGGCUAACCCGUGCCAGCAGCCGCGGUAAUACGGAGGGUGCGAGCGUUAAUCGGAAUUACUGGGCGUAAAGCGCGCGUAGGCGGUCUGAUAAGCCGGUUGUGAAAGCCCCGGGCUCAACCUGGGAACGGCAUCCGGAACUGUCAGGCUAGAGUGCAGGAGAGGAAGGUAGAAUUCCCGGUGUAGCGGUGAAAUGCGUAGAGAUCGGGAGGAAUACCAGUGGCGAAGGCGGCCUUCUGGACUGACACUGACGCUGAGGUGCGAAAGCGUGGGUAGCAAACAGGAUUAGAUACCCCGGUAGUC